RNAcentral lists this transfer RNA (84 nucleotides) under Stackebrandtia nassauensis DSM 44728. It matches the Rfam family "tRNA". Rfam says of the family: Transfer RNA (tRNA) molecules are approximately 80 nucleotides in length. Lineage: Bacteria; Bacillati; Actinomycetota; Actinomycetes; Glycomycetales; Glycomycetaceae. The record is from Rfam by way of RNAcentral.
GCCCAGGUGGUGGAAAGGGAGACACGACUGCCUUAAAAGCAGUUGCCGGAUUACGGCGUGCGAGUUCGAGUCUCGUCCUGGGCA